GGAGGAAAGCAGGGGAUCGCAAGACCUCGCGCUCUUGGAGCGGCCGAUGUCGGAUUAGCUAGUUGGUGAGGUAAAAGCUCACCAAGGCGACGAUCCGUAGCAGGUCUGAGAGGAUGAUCUGCCACACUGGGACUGAGACACGGCCCAGACCCCUACGGGAGGCAGCAGUGGGGAAUUUUGGACAAUGGGGGCAACCCUGAUCCAGCCAUGCCGCGUGAGUGAAGAAGGCCUUCGGGUUGUAAAGCUCUUUCGGCGGGGAAGAAAUGGCAACGGCUAAUAUCCGUUGUUGAUGACGGUACCCGCAUAAGAAGCACCGGCUAACUACGUGCCAGCAGCCGCGGUAAUACGUAGGGUGCGAGCGUUAAUCGGAAUUACUGGGCGUAAAGCGUGCGCAGGCGGUUUCGUAAGACAGACGUGAAAUCCCCGGGCUCAACCUGGGAACUGCGUUUGAAACUACAAAGCUAG
RNAcentral lists this ribosomal RNA (465 nucleotides) under uncultured ammonia-oxidizing beta proteobacterium. RNAcentral describes it as "bacterial SSU rRNA". It matches the Rfam family "Bacterial small subunit ribosomal RNA", at positions 198 to 644 of the family's 1533-position model. The record is from RNAcentral. Lineage: Bacteria; Pseudomonadati; Pseudomonadota; Betaproteobacteria.